RNAcentral lists this ribosomal RNA (257 nucleotides) under uncultured bacterium. RNAcentral's name for it is "partial 16S ribosomal RNA". It matches the Rfam family "Bacterial small subunit ribosomal RNA", at positions 524 to 776 of the family's 1533-position model. The record is from RNAcentral.
UACGAAGGGGGCUAGCGCUGCUCGGAAUUACUGGGCGUAAAGCGCACGUAGGCGGCUUUCUAAGUCGGGGGUGAAAUCCUGGAGCUCAACUCCAGAACUGCCUUCGAUACUGGAAAGCUGCGAGUCCGGGAGAGGUGAGUGGAACUGCGAGUGUAGAGGUGAAAUUCGUAGAUAUUCGCAAGAACACCAGUGGCGAAGGCGGCUCACUGGCCCGGGUACUGACGCUGAGGUGACGAAAGGCGUGGGGAGCAAACAGG